CCCUGACUUCGGGAUAACUCCUCGAAAGAGGAGCUAAUACCGGAUACGACCACUUCGGACAUCCGAUGGUGGUGGAAAGUUUUUCGGUCAGGGAUGGGCCCGCGGCCUAUCAGGCUAGUUGUGGGGUAAUGGGCCUACCAAGGCGACGACGGGUAGCCGGCCUGAGAGGGCGACCGGCCACACUGGGACUGAGACACGGCCCAGACUCCUACGGGAGGCAGCAGUGGGGAAUAUUGCGCAAUGGGCGAAAGCCUGACGCAGCGACGCCGCGUGAGGGAUGAAGGCCUUCGGGUUGUAAACCUCUUUCAGCAGGGACGAAGCGAAAGUGACGGUACCUGCAGAAGAAGCACCGGCUAACUACGUG
Molecule: ribosomal RNA, 364 nt
Filed under: uncultured bacterium
Lineage: Bacteria
Description: bacterial SSU rRNA
Rfam family: Bacterial small subunit ribosomal RNA
Source: RNAcentral